GAGGGUAUAGCUCAGUGAUAGAACGUGUGCCUAGCAAGCACAAGGUCCUAGAUUCAAUCCCCAGUACCUCCA
RNAcentral lists this transfer RNA (72 nucleotides) under Camelus bactrianus (Bactrian camel). It matches the Rfam family "tRNA". Rfam says of the family: Transfer RNA (tRNA) molecules are approximately 80 nucleotides in length. Their secondary structure includes four short double-helical elements and three loops (D, anti-codon, and T loops). Lineage: Eukaryota; Metazoa; Chordata; Mammalia; Artiodactyla; Camelidae. The record is from Rfam by way of RNAcentral. RNAcentral also lists the same sequence under 2 other names.